Molecule: non-coding RNA, 226 nt
Filed under: Candidatus Accumulibacter
Lineage: Bacteria; Pseudomonadati; Pseudomonadota; Betaproteobacteria
Source: RNAcentral
GGCCGCUCGGAUCGCGCCGGUGCCUCGCCAGAGGCUUAAAAGGGAACGCGGUGCGGGCGGAGCGAUCCGUCCCAUUCCGCGGCUGUCCCUGCAACUGUGAGCGGCGAACGAGAUGCGCAGGCGGACGGGUUUUCCGUUUCGCCAGCCACUGGGCCAAUGCCUGGGAAGGCCGUGCAUCGAGUCUUGACCCGCGAGCCAGGAGACCUGCCGGCGUCCGGUCGCUCUU